GCGGCUGCAGCCUCGCUCUGGUCCCUGCGGCUGGCGGCCGAGCCGUGUGUCUCCUCCUCCGCCGCCGCCAUAUUGUCUGUGUGAGGAGAGGGGAGAGCGGCCACCGCCGCUGCCGCUUCCACCACAGUUUAAAGAAAAGAGGUCUGAAACAAGGUCUUACCCCCAGCUGCUUCUGAACACAGUGACCACCAGAUCUCCAAACAUCAAGUCCACCUUCGUUCGCCAACCUGUCUGACAUGUCGGGACCCGUGCCAAGCAGGGCCAGAGUUUACACAGAUGUUAAUACACACAGACCCCGAGAGUACUGGGAUUAUGAGUCACACGUGGUGGAGUGGGGUAAUCAAGAUGACUACCAGCUGGUGCGAAAAUUAGGCCGGGGUAAAUACAGUGAAGUGUUUGAAGCUAUCAACAUCACAAAUAAUGAAAAAGUUGUUGUUAAAAUUCUCAAGCCAGUAAAGAAGAAGAAAAUCAAGCGUGAAAUAAAGAUUUUGGAGAAUUUACGAGGCGGUCCCAAUAUCAUCACACUGGCAGACAUUGUAAAAGACCCUGUGUCACGAACCCCUGCCUUGGUUUUUGAACACGUAAACAACACAGACUUCAAGCAAUUGUACCAGACGUUAACAGACUAUGAUAUUCGAUUUUACAUGUAUGAGAUUCUGAAGGCCCUGGAUUAUUGUCACAGCAUGGGAAUUAUGCACAGAGAUGUGAAGCCCCAUAAUGUCAUGAUUGAUCAUGAGCACAGAAAGCUACGACUAAUAGACUGGGGUUUGGCUGAGUUUUACCAUCCUGGCCAAGAAUAUAAUGUCAGAGUUGCUUCCCGAUACUUCAAAGGUCCUGAGCUACUUGUAGACUAUCAGAUGUACGAUUAUAGUUUGGAUAUGUGGAGUUUGGGUUGUAUGCUGGCAAGUAUGAUCUUCCGGAAGGAGCCAUUUUUCCACGGACAUGAUAAUUAUGAUCAGUUGGUGAGGAUAGCCAAGGUUCUGGGGACAGAAGAUUUAUAUGACUAUAUUGACAAAUACAACAUUGAAUUAGAUCCACGUUUCAAUGAUAUCUUGGGCAGACACUCCCGUAAGCGAUGGGAACGCUUUGUCCACAGUGAAAACCAGCACCUUGUCAGUCCUGAGGCCUUGGAUUUCUUGGACAAGCUGCUGCGAUAUGACCACCAGUCACGGCUUACCGCAAGAGAGGCCAUGGAGCACCCCUAUUUCUAUACUGUUGUGAAGGACCAGGCUCGAAUGGGCUCAUCUAGCAUGCCGGGGGGCAGUACGCCUGUCAGCAGCGCCAAUAUGAUGUCAGGGAUUUCUUCAGUGCCAACCCCUUCACCCCUUGGACCUCUGGCAGGCUCACCAGUGAUUGCUGCGGCCAACCCCCUUGGGAUGCCUGUUCCAGCUGCCGCAGGCGCUCAACAGUAAUGGCCCCUUCUGUCUCCUGAUGCCUGAGCAGAGGUGGGGGAGUCCGCGCUCUCCUUGAUGCAGCUUGCGCCUGGCGGGGAGGGGUGAAAUACUUCAGAAGCACCGUGUCUGAACCGUUGCUUGUGGAUUUAUAGUAGUUCAGUCAUAAAAAAAAAAAUUAUAAUAGGCUGAUUUUCUUUUUUUUUUUUUCCUUCUUUUUUUUAACUCGAACUUUUCAUAACUCAGGGGAUUCCCUGAAAAAUUACCUGCAGGUGGAAUAUUUCACGGACAAAAUUUUCCCCCCCUUUCAAAUUCAGUUUCUCAUCACUAAAGAACAAAGAUGAACCAGCCUCAAUCCCGGCUGCUGCAUUUGGGUGGAGAUAUCUUCCCAUGUCCACCAUUGCUCCCCCACCAUCCCACACUAUGGGGGGUUUAUAUCUCAUGCUCUUCUCCAGAGAUUACAAAAAUGUUUUAGCUUCUUCAAGGGAGGUGGGAAGGAAGGAGGAAGGGAGGGCCCAAGCUACAAGAGCAGUGUACUGCUGGUCACUUUUCUCACACUACUCCAAGUGCUUCAGUGGGGUUGUCCUGGUGAAUCUCGUGGAAAUAUGUCUUAGUUUCAUUGAGAUGCUGAAAAUCUACCCAAAGUGCAGACAGGUCCUGAAAACGUCUGUUCAGUAUGAAUCAUGUCUUAUUGACCUAACCCUAAAUCCAGCUCACUUCUACUUUUAAUUCCAGUUCAGUUUAAGAUUAUAAUACCUUCCCUCCUGGGCUCCUUACCUUGGCCCUCUCCCCUGUCGUCUCCCUAUGUGCUCUAUAGCUGGGGGGAGGGAGAGGAAAAUUCUUUUUCAGUUUUCUUUGACUUGGCCAUUUUGAAUUCAGUUAGUUACUGGGCUUAACUUAUUGCUUUUUACAAAAGAAAAACAUUGUCUAUAUAGGUUUCAUGCUAGCAACUCUUUAAGAGCUAAUGGAAGAUGUGGCCACGCCGAGUUUCAUCUUAAGCUUUCUACCUUCUUUUCUUCCUUUCUUCCCCUUCCUUCACAUGCCAUCCAGUGAGAAGACCUGCCCCUCAGUCUUGUAAAUGUAUCUGAGAGGUAGGAGCAGAGCCACUAUCUCCAGUGAAACUGAAAUGGUAGACCUGUAAUUGUGGGAAAACUAUAAACUCUCUUGUUACAGCCCUGCCACCCCUUGCUGUGUGUAUAUAUAUAAUACUUUGUCCUUCAUAUGUGAAAGAUCCAGUGUUGGAAUUCUUUGGUGUAAAUAAACGUUUGGUUUUAUUUAUCAAGGUUAGAUUUAAGUUCCCUGUGUAAAGGUCUCGCUGGGUGGGUGUCUCACGUUCACAUCUGAGGGGCCUGCAACCCUGUACCGUGGAGGCUUCCCAAGGCCCCCAUUUUUAUACAUCCCCUCAUUCGACCCAUGGUACCGGGCAGGGCAGAGAGGCCUUAAAAAAGCACCACAAGCCAAAGCGUCUCUGGGGAUUAAGGAUCCUUUGCCAUAAAACUCAUUUUGUGUCUCAGCAGUGCAGGGAUUGGGGAUGGAAAAGUCGCCAGUUUUUGUGUGUUUGUGUGUGUGUAAAGUGGAUUUUCCACUGUAAUCCAACCACCUAAGUUUAUCAGGUGCUUCACUGAGGAAGCCUAGUUUUUUAAGCACAAUAGCAAAACCAUCAGCUCUGUAUUUCUCCUGUUUCAUUACAGUAGCUGCUUGUGGGAACUAGGAAAAAUUCUUCCAACAUAUUUGAAGGCCUAAAGUCUUAGUUCCCCUUUCUCCUACCUUUAUAGAUCAUAAGCCUUUCUCGCCUGGGCGCCAUAGACAAGCAUAAUUGUUUCACGAGUUGAAUUUAAUGAACUUAUCUAACUUUAUAACCCAUCUUGGCUCUAGUAACUUGAUCAAGGUGGUGGCUUUCGUGAAUAUAACGGUAAACUUUAGAGGAAGCUAAAGCCUCCUUUUAUAAUGCUUCUCAACCAUAGGGAAAACAUGCCACACACACCCUGUGUGGCAGGGUGAUUUUCUUUCUUGUGGCCACUUAACAGUGGAUAUUUAUUGUUCUUGACCCUUUUAUGCCCUAGAAUGCUGUGGGGGUUACCAUGUUGAAUUUGUGCAGAAGCUAAAAGCACCGGAUGUGCCAGAGAUGCAAUUUGUGAUUACGUUUGCACUGGAUUGUGAUUUGAACAGGACACUUACGACUAAUGAAUUCUUUCUUUUGAGGUGGGGAGGAGGGUUGUAAAUCGAGACUUCACAUCCCACCCUUAGAGCUCAGAGAAUGUUGUGGCUGAGGUUGAUGUGG
This is a non-coding RNA of Callorhinus ursinus (northern fur seal), 3672 nucleotides long. Lineage: Eukaryota; Metazoa; Chordata; Mammalia; Carnivora; Otariidae. The record is from RefSeq and is a predicted model, not a curated record.